RNAcentral lists this ribosomal RNA (406 nucleotides) under uncultured bacterium. RNAcentral's name for it is "bacterial SSU rRNA". It matches the Rfam family "Bacterial small subunit ribosomal RNA", at positions 29 to 410 of the family's 1533-position model. The record is from RNAcentral.
AACGAACGCUGGCGGCGUGGCUAAGACAUGCAAGUCGCACGGAACGUGUAGCAAUAUACGUUUAGUGGCGAAAGGGAGAGUAAUGCAUAGGUAACGUACCUUGGACACAGGGAUAACAGCGGGCCCGCAAGGGUCCUUUGCGAAAGUGCUGCUAAUACCUGAUGAAGUCGCCGGGCCGCAUGGUCUGGCGAUCAAAGGGCGGGGCAACCUGCCGGUCUGGGAGCGGCCAUGUCCUAUCACCUAGUUGGUGAGGUAACGGCUCACCAAGGGAGCGACGGGUAGCGGGUGUGAGAGCAUGACCCGCCUCAUCGGAACUGAGACACUGUCCGGACACCUACGGGUGGCUGCAGUAACGAAUACUGGGCAAUGGGCGCAAGCCUGACCCAGCGACGCCGCGUGCAGGAGG